AAGCUCAUAUUCACUACUUUCAAGCAUAUAUACACACACUCAAACACACAAAAAGAAAUUUUGCUUGAUGGAGAACGGUAAAGGAAGGCGUGAAUCUGCAGAAGGAGAUUCCAGUAAUGGAAAAUGGGCCGGUUCCUCUAAGAAAAGUGGAAGCGUGAUUCCGAAAGAUAGGGAGCCUGUAUCCCACAUGGUGGGAAAGACAAUUGCGAAAGCUGUUAUUUCCGGUGCUCAAAAGAUCAAAAACAAGAAUAAGAUCAAUCCUGAUGGUGGUGCAAAUGCUUGAUAGCGUUACAAAGGGUGCAAGGUCACUUUGCCAAAGCUUUCUUAUUUAGAAAACUUGACAAAUUUGAAUUUUGCCAAAUUCGAAUUGGAACUUCCAAUUUUGGCAGAAUUUAAGUGAAUCUAGUUUUCUAGUAUAAUUUAAUUUUGGCGUCAUCUUUGCACUCUAUCCGUUGUUGUUUGAAGUUUCUCUUCCCAUGUAUCAUGUGAUUUUUUUUUUCUCUCUAUUUUCAAUAUGUUGAAAGUCAUUCCAGUGUAUUUUGAGAAUCAAAUUUUUAUUCGAAUGACCAGUAAUUUAGGUACGUAUAGUAUGUCGUAUCUCUAUGAGUCUUGUAUUUAGGCA
This 622-nucleotide long non-coding RNA is filed under the name Coffea arabica (coffee). RNAcentral's name for it is "long non-coding RNA (CARA_LNC006936)". Lineage: Eukaryota; Viridiplantae; Streptophyta; Magnoliopsida; Gentianales; Rubiaceae. The record is from RNAcentral.